Molecule: long non-coding RNA, 1141 nt
Organism: Gorilla gorilla gorilla (western lowland gorilla)
Lineage: Eukaryota; Metazoa; Chordata; Mammalia; Primates; Hominidae
Exons: 3
Source: RefSeq, a predicted model, not a curated record
AUAGUUGACAAUUUAAGCUUUCUUUAUCUAUGAUGUUGAUUCAGAAAUUUUCUUAAAUGGUCUCAACUUCAUAUUCCCUCACAUAAUUGUGGCCUGUUAUAUAUAAACAUAAAGCUGCUUUUCUUGUGUGUUUAGCCUAUUUUUUUCUGUAAUUCCACAUGGUACAGAAAAACACUGAGCUGCAUAAAAGAACUCUUAAACACAUUUCCACAACCACUGGUUAAAAUCCACAUUCCAAGAAUGUGUGUAUAUACAAGAAUAUAUAUUCUUUUCAUGGAAGGAGCUGCCACUUUCAGCAGAUUCUCAAGGGUGUCUGCCACUCAUAAAAGAGACAAGUCUCACUCUGUUGCCCAGGCUGGAGUGCAGUGGUGCAGUCUCAGCUCACUGCAACCUCUGGCUCCCAGGUUCAAGCGAUUUUCCUUGAGUAGCUGGGAUUACAGGACCUUCAGUACCUUCUAGCUGUGGAGUCCUAAUCAGGGGAAAACAAAGAGAUAAGGCAGAUAAGCUACAAGUCUGCCUUUCUUCAUGGUCCAGUACACAGCCCUCCUGUGCAAAUAACUCACAGUCGUCCUUCCUGUGUCCAACUAUCACCAAACACCUGCAAGUUAGCUCACUGCAACCUUUGCCUUAUAGAUACUGCACAAAGCCAUCUUCAACAGACAGCAUAAAAACUAUUGUAUAAAUUAUCCAGCAAGCCUUUGUUUCCUGGCAGUCAGCUUCUCUGUUGCUGAUCCUGCCUUUUGCCUCCUCGAAAAGUAUUUUCAUACUUUUAAAAGUAAAUCUGCCUUUCUUUACAGCUGUCUUGGUAAAUUCUUUUACCCCCCUCGCCUCCCGCCCAGAUAGUCGUCCCUCCCCGGCGACAUCAACCUAAAAGAGAUUUUGAGAAUGAAUCUGAUGGUUUCCAAAGUAACUGAUCCAUACGAAAGUGUAUACAGCUGGGGAGUCGUCGGAGAAAGUCAAAAUCCGUCUACUCACCAGCCACCUUCAGAUGCACCAGGGCUUCUUCGUAGCUUCCAUCCUCCCUGAAAAAGCACGUGUACUCCCCGUCGUCAGAGACUCUGACGCCACGGAUCCUCAAGGCCACGCGCCCCUUGGCGAUGCCGUCCUGGACCAGCGUCGCCCGCCCGCGGUACUCGGGCAU